AUUUUGAGCGCGAACUCGUCCACAGUCCCCCUUUCAG
Molecule: non-coding RNA, 37 nt
Filed under: Mycobacterium tuberculosis
Lineage: Bacteria; Bacillati; Actinomycetota; Actinomycetes; Mycobacteriales; Mycobacteriaceae
Source: RNAcentral